Molecule: ribosomal RNA, 893 nt
Filed under: uncultured bacterium
Lineage: Bacteria
Description: bacterial SSU rRNA
Rfam family: Bacterial small subunit ribosomal RNA
Source: RNAcentral
AGAGUUUGAUCAUGGCUCAGGACGAACGCUGGCGGCGUGCUUAACACAUGCAAGUCGAGCGGAAAGGCCCUUUCGGGGGUACUCGAGCGGCGAACGGGUGAGUAACACGUGAGUAAUCUGCCCUUGGCUUCGGGAUAGCCACCGGAAACGGUGAUUAAUACCGGAUACGACACAUCACUGCAUGGUGCGUGUGUGGAAAGUUUCUUCGGCCAGGGAUGUGCUCGCGGCCUAUCAGCUUGUUGGUGGGGUAAUGGCCUACCAAGGCUUCGACGGGUAGCCGGCCUGAGAGGGUGACCGGCCACACUGGGACUGAGACACGGCCCAGACUCCUACGGGAGGCAGCAGUGGGGAAUAUUGGACAAUGGGCGGAAGCCUGAUCCAGCAACGCCGCGUGAGGGAUGACGGCCUUCGGGUUGUAAACCUCUUUCAGCACAGACGAAGCGCAAGUGACGGUAUGUGCAGAAGAAGGACCGGCCAACUACGUGCCAGCAGCCGCGGUAAUACGUAGGGUCCUAGCGUUGUCCGGAAUUAUUGGGCGUAAAGGGCUCGUAGGCGGUUUGUCGCGUCGGGAGUGAAAACACCGGGCUUAACUCGGUGCUUGCUUUCGAUACGGGCAGACUAGAGGUAUUCAGGGGAGAACGGAAUUCCUGGUGUAGCGGUGAAAUGCGCAGAUAUCAGGAGGAACACCGGUGGCGAAGGCGGUUCUCUGGGAAUAUCCUGACGCUGAGGAGCGAAAGUGUGGGGAGCGAACAGGAUUAGAUACCCUGGUAGUCCACACCGUAAACGUUGGGCGCUAGGUGUGGGGUCCAUUCCACGGAUUCCGUGCCGCAGCUAACGCAUUAGCGCCCCGCCUGGGGGAGUACGGCGCAAGGCUAAACUCAAGGAAUUGACGG